Molecule: ribosomal RNA, 464 nt
Filed under: uncultured bacterium
Lineage: Bacteria
Description: partial 16S ribosomal RNA
Rfam family: Bacterial small subunit ribosomal RNA
Source: RNAcentral
GACGAACGCUGGCGGCGUGCUUAACACAUGCAAGUCGAACGGAAAGGCCCCUUUGGGGGUACUCGAGUGGCGAACGGGUGAGUAACACGUGAGUAACCUGCCCUUGACUUCGGGAUAACUUCAGGAAACUGGGGCUAAUACCGGAUAGGAAUCCUUGCUGCAUGGUGGGGGUUGGAAAGCUUCGGCGGUUUUGGAUGGACUCGCGGCUUAUCAGCUUGUUGGUGGGGUAGUGCUUACCAAGGCUUUGACGGGUAGCCGGCCUGAGAGGGCGACCGGCCACAUUGGGACUGAGAUACGGCCCAGACUCCUACGGGAGGCAGCAGUGGGGAAUAUUGCACAAUGGGCGGAAGCCUGAUGCAGCAACGCCGCGGGCGGGAUGACGGCCUUCGGGUUGUAAACCGCUUUCAGCAGGGGCGAAGCUUGUGGUGACGGUACCUGCAGAAGAAGCACCGGCUAACUACGUG